UACCAGCUCUCCGAGUUGUAGGGAUGUUUAUUGGGCCUAAAGCAUCCGUAGCCGGCUGGACAAGUCCCCUGUUAAAUCCAGCGACCAAUCGUUGGUCUGCGGGGGAUACUGUCCGGCUAGGGGGCGGGAGAGGCCGUCGGUAUUCCUGGGGUAGGGGUGAAAUCCUAUAAUCCCAGGAGGACCACCAGUGGCGAAGGCUGUCGGCUAGAACGCGCCCGACGGUGAGGGAUGAAAGCUGGGGGAGCGAACCGG
This 252-nucleotide ribosomal RNA is filed under the name uncultured archaeon. RNAcentral's name for it is "partial 16S ribosomal RNA". It matches the Rfam family "Archaeal small subunit ribosomal RNA", at positions 474 to 727 of the family's 1478-position model. The record is from RNAcentral.